RNAcentral lists this ribosomal RNA (254 nucleotides) under uncultured bacterium. RNAcentral's name for it is "partial 16S ribosomal RNA". It matches the Rfam family "Bacterial small subunit ribosomal RNA", at positions 99 to 354 of the family's 1533-position model. The record is from RNAcentral.
CGGACGGGUGAGUAACGCGUGGAAAACCUGCCGUAUACUGGGGGAUAACACUUAGAAAUAGGUGCUAAUACCGCAUAAGCGCACAGCUUCGCAUGAAGCGGUGUGAAAAACUCUGGUGGUAUACGAUGGUUCCGCGUCUGAUUGCUAGUUGGUGGGGUAAUGGCCUACCAAGGCAACGAUCAGUAGCCGGCCUGAGAGGGUGAACGGCCACAUUGGGACUGAGACACGGCCCAAACUCCUACGGAAGGCAGCAG